GAUGAACGCUGGCGGCGUGCCUAAUACAUGCAAGUCGAGCGAACAGACGAGGAGCUUGCUCCUCUGACGUUAGCGGCGGACGGGUGAGUAACACGUGGAUAACCUACCUAUAAGACUGGGAUAGCUUCGGGAAACCGGAGCUAAUACCGGAUAAUAUAUUGAACCGCAUGGUUCAAUAGUGAAAGACGGUUUUGCUGUCACUUAUGGAUGGAUCCGCGCCGCAUUAGCUAGUUGGUAAGGUAACGGCUUACCAAGGCAACGAUGCGUAGCCGACCUGAGAGGGUGAUCGGCCACACUGGAACUGAGACACGGUCCAGACUCCUACGGGAGGCAGCAGUAGGGAAUCUUCCGCAAUGGGCGAAAGCCUGACGGAGCAACGCCGCGUGAGUGAUGAAGGUCUUCGGAUCGUAAAACUCUGUUAUUAGGGAAGAACAAAUGUGUAAGUAACUAUGCACGUCUUGACGGUACCUAAUCAGAAAGCCACGGCUAACUACGUG
This 497-nucleotide ribosomal RNA is filed under the name uncultured bacterium. RNAcentral's name for it is "partial 16S ribosomal RNA". It matches the Rfam family "Bacterial small subunit ribosomal RNA", at positions 28 to 507 of the family's 1533-position model. The record is from RNAcentral.